GAGUUAGGGUGGGGGGAGGAGGCGUGGCCAGCGAGGGCCUGCGCGCAUGCGUGGGGCCCUUUGCUGGCGACCCUACCCGUCUGGGGUGUGUAUUUCCCAAGGGCCUUUCUCGCUGCCGUGCGUGCAUCGGAUUGCUCAGGACGACGCUAGGACCGGGGCACCUCCGAGGGCAAGGGUCUGUGACUUGGGAGUCGCUUCUGCAAAGGCAGGUCUCCGGAUCCCACGUGCCUGUUCCGCUCAGGUAAGGCUGGGCUUCUGGAAGUCCUGCGUCCUGAGAGCCAGCCCCUUGUCCACGAGGAGUGUGUGUACGUGUGUGAGGCCUCUCAGCCCGGUGGAGGGCGCGCCUGAGGAUAAGUUAUUAGUCAUUGCACGGGUUUCUCUCUUGCCCCACUCUUGGCACCGGCAUUAUUACGUUGGAAGAAACCGGUAUUAGGUACAGUG
Long non-coding RNA from Eptesicus fuscus (big brown bat), 441 nucleotides. RefSeq lists it as uncharacterized. The transcript has 2 exons. The record is from RefSeq and is a predicted model, not a curated record. NCBI's taxonomy places the organism in Eukaryota, Metazoa, Chordata, Mammalia, Chiroptera, Vespertilionidae.